RNAcentral lists this transfer RNA (55 nucleotides) under Imerinia grandidieri. RNAcentral's name for it is "tRNA-Ser". The record is from RNAcentral. Lineage: Eukaryota; Metazoa; Mollusca; Gastropoda; Systellommatophora; Veronicellidae.
GAAAGUGAAAAAUAAGGUUUUGAAAGCCUUUAACGUAUUGUGAUUACCACUUUCU